This is a long non-coding RNA of Pistacia vera, 482 nucleotides long. RefSeq lists it as uncharacterized. The transcript has 3 exons. NCBI's taxonomy places the organism in Eukaryota, Viridiplantae, Streptophyta, Magnoliopsida, Sapindales, Anacardiaceae. The record is from RefSeq and is a predicted model, not a curated record.
GAUGAUAUACAAUGAAUGAACAUGAUCCAAAUGGGAGUGGGAGGCGACGAACAGCUGUGAUUGUGUUGGGAUUCCAGCAGGAAGGCUAUCCCCAGAAAGGGCUAACCAUUCUAGUGUUGAUCCAAGUCUGCAGGAUGGCUUCAACAAGUUUCUUGAUUUGGAGAGUUCACUUGCUUCAUUUCCUAUCAAACCAUUGCAAGCACUGAAGCAAUGAUUAAUUAUUUCCCUCUCAUCUUCAGUUGCUAAUGACUUCAUCAAUAUCAUUAACUGUCUUCCAGGAGUAGUUUUGACAUUGCUGAGGAUGACGAGCGUACAACUAGUCCUACUUGGAACGUUACUGCUCAAUUAUAUAUUGAGCAACAGUUUCUUACAAAGACUUACCAGGGGCCUUGGACCAAGAAACUGGAAGGAGUGAUGGUAAGAAUUCACAGAAACUAUCUCUUUACAACGUCCAUGCCAUUUCUGAGAAUAAAAUUUUUUUG